AGAGUUUGAUCAUGGCUCAGAUUGAACGCUGGCGGCAGGCUUAACACAUGCAAGUCGAGCGGGGGAAGGUAGCUUGCUACCGGACCUAGCGGCGGACGGGUGAGUAAUGCUUAGGAAUCUGCCUAUUAGUGGGGGACAACAUCUCGAAAGGGAUGCUAAUACCGCAUACGUCCUACGGGAGAAAGCAGGGGAUCUUCGGACCUUGCGCUAAUAGAUGAGCCUAAGUCGGAUUAGCUAGUUGGUGGGGUAAAGGCCUACCAAGGCGACGAUCUGUAGCGGGUCUGAGAGGAUGAUCCGCCACACUGGGACUGAGACACGGCCCAGACUCCUACGGGAGGCAGCAGUGGGGAAUAUUGGACAAUGGGGGGAACCCUGAUCCAGCCAUGCCGCGUGUGUGAAGAAGGCCUUAUGGUUGUAAAGCACUUUAAGCGAGGAGGAGGCUACUUUAGUUAAUACCUAGGGAUAGUGGACGUUACUCGCAGAAUAAGCACCGGCUAACUCUGUGCCAGCAGCCGCGGUAAUACAGAGGGUGCGAGCGUUAAUCGGAUUUACUGGGCGUAAAGCGUGCGUAGGCGGCUUAUUAAGUCGGAUGUGAAAUCCCCGAGCUUAACUUGGGAAUUGCAUUCGAUACUGGUGAGCUAGAGUAUGGGAGAGGAUGGUAGAAUUCCAGGUGUAGCGGUGAAAUGCGUAGAGAUCUGGAGGAAUACCGAUGGCGAAGGCAGCCAUCUGGCCUAAUACUGACGCUGAGGUACGAAAGCAUGGGGAGCAAACAGGAUUAGAUACCCUGGUAGUCCAUGCCGUAAACGAUGUCUACUAGCCGUUGGGGCCUUUGAGGCUUUAGUGGCGCAGCUAACGCGAUAAGUAGACCGCCUGGGGAGUACGGUCGCAAGACUAAAACUCAAAUGAAUUGACGGGGGCCCGCACAAGCGGUGGAGCAUGUGGUUUAAUUCGAUGCAACGCGAAGAACCUUACCUGGCCUUGACAUACUAGAAACUUUCCAGAGAUGGAUUGGUGCCUUCGGGAAUCUAGAUACAGGUGCUGCAUGGCUGUCGUCAGCUCGUGUCGUGAGAUGUUGGGUUAAGUCCCGCAACGAGCGCAACCCUUUUCCUUACUUGCCAGCAUUUCGGAUGGGAACUUUAAGGAUACUGCCAGUGACAAACUGGAGGAAGGCGGGGACGACGUCAAGUCAUCAUGGCCCUUACGGCCAGGGCUACACACGUGCUACAAUGGUCGGUACAAAGGGUUGCUACACAGCGAUGUGAUGCUAAUCUCAAAAAGCCGAUCGUAGUCCGGA
RNAcentral lists this ribosomal RNA (1294 nucleotides) under Acinetobacter baumannii 655378. Its description in RNAcentral is "bacterial SSU rRNA". It matches the Rfam family "Bacterial small subunit ribosomal RNA", at positions 8 to 1297 of the family's 1533-position model. Lineage: Bacteria; Pseudomonadati; Pseudomonadota; Gammaproteobacteria; Moraxellales; Moraxellaceae. The record is from RNAcentral.